This 1572-nucleotide long non-coding RNA is filed under the name Homo sapiens (human). RNAcentral's name for it is "HSALNT0163596". Lineage: Eukaryota; Metazoa; Chordata; Mammalia; Primates; Hominidae. The record is from RNAcentral.
ACUUUGUUGCUGGCUAUUAAUCAGGAACGCUCUCAGAUCUUCAAGGAUGUACCCAGGUCCUUGUUACCAUAGCCCCCUUGAUAUCAGUGGGCUUCUGACCAAGCUGUGCCAAUCAGAAUGCUUCAUCUGGGAACCUGGAAUUAAGAUAUCUUCGGAUAUAUAGCAUUUCGUACUUUUUAGCAGAACGAGUCGACCUGCAUUGAUUUGAGAUUCUGCCCGUCAGUAACUAAACGACCCUGAAGGCAUGAUCUCGCUCUGCGGCCCAGGCUGCCAGGCUGAAGUUAAAUGGCAUGAUCACAGCUCACUGCAGCCUUGAACUUCUGGGCUUAAGCAAUCCUCCCACCUCAGCCUUCCAAGUACCUGGAACUACAGGCCUGCACCACCACACCCAGCUAAUUUUGUUUUUAAUUUUUUGUAGAGACAAAGUCUCACUAUGUUGCCAAGGCUGAUCUCAAACUCCUGGCCUCAAGUGAUCUUCCCACCUCAUCCUUUCAAAAUGCCUAUAGCCAUCAUCCAUCAUGCGUGGCCCAGUCUUUCAUAUUCUUACAGAUGUGGGUGACCCCCAUGUUAUACUGGUGAGGAGGCUUAGGAAAUUAAUAUAAACUUGGAACUUAUGAAGUCUUUCUCAUAAGACUUUUUCACAGAAUCAGGUUUCAAUUUCUUCUCUCUCUCAACUUCCUGUGGCAUCUUGAAUGCUAUUUAUCAAUAAAAUCCCAUACAAUUCUGCAAAACAAAGACUGCUAACAUUCUUCUGUCUGGAUUUAUGAAGAUUAUACUUCUAAGAGAAAUCAAUCCUGGUAAGAAUAACCAGAAGUCCUGAAGGCCCAAAAUAGCUAGUGAGACUUGAUAAGGUCUUUUAUGAUUUGUUAGUUAGUGGGAAAAACUAGGAAAUUAGAAGAAUGUGAUUCGUUACAAGUUGCAUCUACUUCUUAAACACAGUUGAGCAAUAAUAAUUCGCUGAAAAAAAUCCUUGCUAAUUAAAAAAAUAAAAUGACAUGAAAUUUAUUUUAGAGUGAUUAUUUGUGUCAUCUGUAGGUUGCCGGAGUUUUGUGUUUUGCAUCCUAUAACAAAACAGAUGAAACAGAGGGUUAAGAGCCACAGAGGGAUGGUGACGCUCUGCAGGUGUGCUUUUCCAUCAGUUUUUAAUUAGGCUAUGGGUGAGGCACAUAAAUAGGAAGUGCUGAGGGUGAAUAUGGUCUUUUUAAAAAAGGAAACAGUGAAAGGACAGAAAUCUGUAAUCAUGAAGACAGACAAGUGGUACUCUGAUUUUCUGUAAUGUGGUUUUUGUCAUUUUAAUGCUUAAUAUUAAGAUUAAAUGUAUGCUAUGCUUGGAAGAAAAUCAUAUUUUUAUAAAUUUAAUUGAAAUAUUUGCAAUUUUUUAUGACUAUCUCUGGGCAAACCCUUAGCGUCAAAAGAAAGUAAAAAAUUAAAAAGGCUUGUUUAAAGGCACUUUCUUCUUUGUUAUGUAUGGCACUUUCCUGUCUUGAAAGAGAAUGUUGAAGGAAGUAAUGUCCCCGUGAAUGUCUGAUGAUAAUGUGCCCCUGUACUCAGGCCUUGCCUGGUGAAUAAUCU